This 250-nucleotide long non-coding RNA is filed under the name Olea europaea subsp. europaea. Lineage: Eukaryota; Viridiplantae; Streptophyta; Magnoliopsida; Lamiales; Oleaceae. The record is from RNAcentral.
GGAAGGAGAAGAUUUCCAGAAUAAAGAAGAAAUGGAUAUGCUGAAAAUGAUUUUUGAGGAAGAAUGAAAGCGAUGGAAGAAGAAUAGAAUAAGCUAUAUAUGAUGCAGAAGAAGUUGUCAUAAUUUUCUGCAUAUUGUUUAUUUUAUUGAGAUUUGUGUCCCCAUGUUUUACGUAGCAAGCCAUGCAUGGUUGUAUGCAGAGUGUUUCAUGAUCUAUAUAAUAAAUAAGUGAAUGUUCAUGUUCUUGUUU